RNAcentral lists this long non-coding RNA (319 nucleotides) under Homo sapiens (human). RNAcentral's name for it is "HSALNT0130258". Lineage: Eukaryota; Metazoa; Chordata; Mammalia; Primates; Hominidae. The record is from RNAcentral.
GGCGUGGGAAGGUUGAGGAAGAGUUCACUGUAUGUCUAAUCAUUGCCUAAUUUGAAUCUAGAAGCACACGGAGGCAAGGAUAACAUGACAAGCAGCUGAAGGACAGGAGGCCAAGUGCAUGUGGUGCCAAACACACCUUCACUUACAAAGGAUCUUCCCUCUAGGAAUGGAAAGAAGCGGUAUGAUGUACCAUGUACAAACUCCAUGGAAUGAGGUCAGAAAGGGUGGAUGCUCUAUUGGAGACUGUCCUCAGAAAACAUGCUUCUUCCUGGAAAGCUGACAUUUCCUCCCAGCUUUCAGCAGGAGAAUAAAAAGAGGC